UACGUGGGUGGCAAGCGUUGUCCGAAAUUAUUGGGCGUAAAGCGCGCGCAGGCGGUCCUUUAAGUCUGAUGUGAAAGCCCACGGCUCAACCGUGGAGGGUCAUUGGAAACUGGGGGACUUGAGUGCAGGAGAGAAGAGUGGAAUUCCACGUGUAGCGGUGAAAUGCGUAGAGAUGUGGAGGAACACCAGUGGCGAAGGCGAGUCUCUGGACAUUUCCUGACGCUGAGGCACGAAAGCCAGGGGAGCAAACGGG
Molecule: ribosomal RNA, 253 nt
Filed under: uncultured bacterium
Lineage: Bacteria
Description: partial 16S ribosomal RNA
Rfam family: Bacterial small subunit ribosomal RNA
Source: RNAcentral